UACAGAGGCGGCAAGCGUUGUUCGGAAUUAUUGGGCGUAAAGAGCACGUAGGCGGCUGUGUAAGUCGGUUGUGAAAGCCUUCCGCUCAACGGAAGAACGGCAUCCGAUACUGCAUGGCUUGAGUGUGGGAGGGGAGAGUGGAACUUCUGGUGGAGCGGUGAAAUGCGUAGAUAUCGGAAGGAACACCAAUGGCGAAGGCAGCUUCCUGGCCCAAUACUGACGCUCAGGUGCGAAAGCGUGGGGAUCAAAC
This 250-nucleotide ribosomal RNA is filed under the name uncultured bacterium. RNAcentral describes it as "partial 16S ribosomal RNA". It matches the Rfam family "Bacterial small subunit ribosomal RNA", at positions 524 to 773 of the family's 1533-position model. The record is from RNAcentral.